UGCACGAACUCCUUGGGGCUGAUGAGGUGUCCAUCAAACUGCACACACUUCACAUUGAUCCCGGGGCACACGAACUUCCUCCAGAUGAGGUUGGCUUUGCUGUCCCCACAGGUGAUGGGGUACACGAUCUCUGCCUCCAAGCUGUCCUCGUCUUCAGCCAUCUUCACUAGCACUGCUUCCUUCAGGUGUGUGGAUGCUGUGAAGGCGGCAGCGGCCGCAGCAGCUGCGUUUUCUGUCUCCAGAGUGUCCUCAUUUAUGUCACCGCCAUGCUGGGACAGAUUGGUGGUGACCAGCACCGUCUUCACCUCCUCCACCCCACUGCCAUCCACUGCUGUGUCCGGCGUCGUCACCACCACCACCUCUUCCAUGUGCACACUGACGUCCGGCGUGGCCAUGGCGGGGCCGUGGGAGCAGCGCUCUCAGGCCGAGGCCCCGCGGCCCCGCUCGCUGCGGCUCCGGGGGCUGCGGCGGGGGCUGAGCCGGGCCGGGUGCGGGGCGGCGGGUGCGGGGCCGGGCGCUGGGCUGGGGGCUGCGGGGCUCCGCCGCGCGCGCGGCUCUCGGGCCCCCCCCCACCCCGGCUCGCGGCGCGCAGCGCGCAGGCGCACGGCCCCGGCUCGGCUCUCGGGACUUAUUUGGCGCAGCGCCGCGGCCCGAGCUGCCUGCGAAAUAAGUGGCGGGGAGGCGCAGUGCGCGUGCGCGGCUGGGGGCGCUCGGGGGCAGCCGGGGGCACGGCGCGCGCCGCCGCCUGUAGGGUGCAUCGCGCACCGGGAGCGCGCUGCGGAGUGCCCCGGCUUUGCUGCUUUGUGCUUUUGCGGCUUUGCGUGUUUCUCCCUGCUCCUUUGCCGGCCUUGCGUGUCCCUUCCGGCCUGCCGUGUGUUUCCUCCUCCCUCUCCGUUCCUCUCCUGACCCCUCGUGUGUUCCCCCCUGUGCUCAUUUGCACGCACCGUGCAUGCUUCUCAGGCCUCGUGCAUGCCCCCGGGCCGUGCGUGACCCCUGGGAGCCAUGCAUGUACCCAGACUCCUGCAUGCACGCACUGCGCGUGCUGCCAUUGCUCCCAAAUGCAGCCAGCCUCAUGCAUACCCCCCACCUCAGGGCAUGGUGUGCACGGGGAGUGUAUGCACCCAAGCCAAGUGUAGUGGGGUGCCGGGCAUAUCUGUCUUCAUCCCUCCCCAGUGAGGCAUGUGCAUGCACUUCCAUGCAUUCAUUCCGUUCAGGAGUGCAGAGCAGUGCUUAUGCAUGGAUUUUCCACCCUAAGCGGUGCAGCCAGCAGGGCAGGGAGGUGGUGCUGCCCCUCUGCUCUGUGCUGUGAGAUCUCACCUGAAGCACUGCAUCCACGAGGGGGAUCUUCAGCACGGGAGAGACGUGGAUAUCUGUUGGAACGCAUCCAGAGAAGGGCCAUAGAAAUGCUCCAAGGGAUUGGAACACCUCCCUACGAGGAUGGGUUGAGAGAGCUGAGGCUGUGCAGAGCUGAGGCUGUGCGGUGUGGAGGGUGGAGGGCUGUAGGGAGACCUGAGAGCAGCCUUCCCAGAUCUAAAGGGGCUGUAAGGAAGGGGACAGAGUCUUUAGCAGAGGCUUUAUGAUAGGACAUGGGGAAAUGGUUUCAAACUGAAAGAGGGGAAAUUUAUACUGGAUAUAGGGAAAAAGUACUCCGUGCAGGGCAUGCAGUGCUUCAGGGGAGACCCCGAGGUGCCACUGGUGAGCUCCUGGUGCCCGGGCUGUGCCUGGCUGCAGGCAGCUGCUUUCCAAUCCUCAUUCCCCGAUGCUCACAGCCCUGCAAGAGCUGUGCCACGGUGCUCAGCCACUGAUCCUGAGCUCUGAAGAAAUAAGUUCUCUUAUGACUGCUCUGCUGUCUUUAUCAGCAGUGCAUUAUCAAACCGGAGGUAGAAAUGUGUGCUUUGCACCUGGAGGAGACAGCGGCCGUGUCUGUAGGAGUGCUUUGUGCAGCUCGGGACACCUCUCCUAUGGGUGUCACCUCCCCAGUGGGUGUCACAGAGUCUCACAGACUCAUAGCAUGGCUUGGCACCAUCCCGUUCCGAUGCUGUGGGCAGGGCUGCCACCCAUCAGAUUUAUUUUGCCCAAAGACUGCCAGAUCACCAGUAGGGACAACUCACCCACCAGACAUCACAAAGCCCCUUUCCAUGGGAACUUCCCUCUGCCAUCAUCCCCUAUGCAAGCCAAUGGCAGAAGUGCAAGAAAGAGAGUGAGUCCGUAGCCUGUGAUCUCCUGGGAAGCAAAAUCUCCCUUUUGCUGCAAGCUCAGCUGGAGCUGAGGGGUCUGCCUUACAGGGGAUGGGCACACGGGCUCUGUUUUACAUAGGACAGAUCACCGUGUUGUUCCAGGACCCCACGCCCACAGCUGCAGAUAGAGAACCUCCGAACACUGAGCUGUGCUGCGUCCCCACUUGGGCUCUUAUCUUCCAAACUGCCAAGGUCACACUGCAAAAAUAGAAUUGCUGUUUGUGGGGAUGGUGGCGUCCUGUGCACGUGGGAAGAGCUGUGGUGUGGCAGCCCCAGCACUGCUCCUACAGAAAUAUGGACAGGGCCCCAAAACACGGGGCACUCCCUAAGGAUGCUGCUUUGGGAAUGUCCCUACAGGGCCAGCAGGGCUGGGGGUGGUGGGCAAUGCCUAUUCUGGUGAAGGACCAUUACGGCAGCAGUGCGGAUUCCUCAGGGCAGCACCUGAGGGAAUCACAAAGGGCUCUGAGCUGAAUGCUGCAGCACUGGGGAUGUUUGGGGAGCAUCUCACCCCGGGGCUCUGUUGGGAUGCUGGGGGGGGCUGUGCUGCCUUUAGGAAACAUUACACAGGAGGUGAGGGUAGGGGAGGGAGCGUUGAAAAGAAAAGAAGCUCACAUGUAUUCCAGAACUGGAUUUAUUGUAUUUGCAAUCAUCUCAUAACGUUUUGCUCGUCCUCUGUUACGCCGCUGCAUGCCCUCACCUCUAAGUGCAGGGCUCAGGGUGGUGCCUGCAGUUGAGCAUUAUAUUACUUUCUUUUCCUCUGAGAAUGGUGAUAAAGGAUGGGUUCAGUUUCUGCAUCUUUCGUACGGGUGCAAAGUACUCAUUUAACAUACAGAGGCUUGGAUUCCGUUUUGUAAAACCCUCGGGUUCGUUUUCUGUUUAAUGCCUUUUAUUGGUAUUCCCACAAUACACACAGGAGCCUUAGAACUCAAACAACCAACUCACGGAGAGAGAUGGGCACACGUGGGGGUCAGACCCACUUUCUUUCCUUCCUUGUCUUUCAUCAUCGCUUCUCUUGCACAACAACCACCUCUGGCUGGGAAUGGAACGUGGGACCCACGGGCAGUGGUGGGUUCUGCUGAUGGGACCCCCAGCCCCUUCUCUGGGGUGUGAGAAACCUCCAGCACCACGAGCACCCAUUCCCUGCCUCACUCCCAGUGGCACAACAGUGCGAGUGCAAACCCCAUUCCAUGGGUGCAAUUCUGCACGCACGCAGUGCUGCAGCGGGGCAGAACCCACACCAAGGAUGCUCACCCCCAGGUAACAGCAUGAACAUCUGCGUGCCAUCCCUGCUGGGUGCCGCAGCCCCGCUCCACAGGGAAGGUGCUCAUCUCUCUCCUUUAGGACUCCUGCUCAUGAGUACAACAUUUCGGAGAAUAAUCAUCAUCAUAGUAAUAAUCAUAGUACUAAAAACAGUAUUUACAACAAGCUCCAGGUCAGAAGUACACACCAAGCAAACACUCAGCACCACAGAGAGCAGGACGGGGUGAACAUCUCGCGGGUACCUUCUCAGAUCCCACCGGCGUGGGACACAGACGUGUGACGGUUUCAACCCUUUCUUACACACAAACAUUUUGCUUAAAUUACUUUUAAAAUUAGGUUUGUUUUUUUCUUUUUUUUUUUUUUUAACUUUUUUUAUUAUUAUUAUUUUCCCCCCCCCUCUCUUUUGAAUUUCUCGUCACUAUAUGGAUGAGGUGAUGCUGGCGGCGGCGCCGCGCUCUACAACGAUGCGUAUCUAAGACAGCUGCUACUAUAAACGGAUCAUUGGCUACUGCUAAGAAAGUCAACCCUCGGUUCCGCUCCGGUUCCCUCUCUGCCCCCAGCGCUCUGCAGUACCCCAGCACUGGGGGGGGGCCCUCCUGCAGGAGCAGAGUUCCCCCCAGCUGCUCUGUGGCUGUGGAGGGGUCGCUCCCGGAUCCUCGGGGUCUUGUGGGGAGAUCAGCACAGAGCUCAGGGCCGCCCCCCAGCAGUGCUGCCCUUUGGCUUUUUGGUGGGUUUUCUUUUCUUUUUUCCCCUUUUUUUUUUUUUUUUUUUUUUUGGUCAUAACCAUUUGUUUUGUGUGUGUAAUUAAAGCACACCUUAGACAGAAAACGUCAGGUCCUAACCGAGCCGGCAGUGCUUUUUGGGGAGGGAUGGAGAGGGAAGCGCACACAGCCUGUGGUGCAAAUCGUGGAGUCAUAGAACGGCUUGGGUUGGAGGGGACCUUAAAGAUCGUCCCCCCGCCGUGGGCUGGUUGCCCUCACCAGGUCAGGCUGCUCAGGGCCCCAUCCGACCUCCAAGGUUGGGGUAUCCUCCUCUGCUGCACGCACAGCACAGGGGACCCCAGCAGCCCACCCCCUGCUUGCUGCCCUCCCCGAAGCACAGCACCAAAGCACUGCACAGGGGAACCCUCAUCACCUCCUGCCCCGAAUCCUACCACAGACCGGGCUGGCUGCUCAGCACUGCAUCCCGUGCACAGUUGGACCCAAUUCCAUGCAAUAUUCUGGAUGCACUGUUUGCUCUCAGCUUUUCAAGGCAGAAGCAGAGUGGGUGUAAGGUCCCACGGGCACAGCCCUGCAGUGCUGGCACUUCAGCUGCCUCCCAAAGCCGUGGCAAUGGCAGCACAGGAAGCCCCAGGCUGGCAGCCACCUGUCUGCAUCACACUGCUGUCACCUGCCACUGUCACACUUGCAUAUCCUCCACUCGUCCCUACCUCCACCAAGAGACAACGUUUGCAUAAAAAUAGGCUUUGAAAAGCUAAAGAUAGCCAAGAAACGAACACGGGAACACCUCCUCACCCUUCCUGCAGAAUUGCUCCUGCUCAGCUCCACCUCAUCCAGCGCUGCUGGUAAGUCCUUAUCCCAAAGCGCUGCCCAGGAGCUCCCUGUCCUCAGCAUCCACUGAGCCACAUCCAUCCUUGGGAAGAGCGACGUCCUCCCUGCCAGCAGGCGGCCUCACCACCGCGUCCCAUCCCUGCGUUCCGAGGGGGUCGUGGAGGGCUGGCAGACUGCAGACUGAGGGCCCUCCUGGGGUUCUGCAGAGCCGAGGUGACAGAGCCCAUGGGGGGCAGGGGGCUCAGCCUGCAGCCACCAGGGAUGGGGACAGGGAUAGGGAUGGGGAUAGAGAUGGGGAGGGAGACAUGAAUGGGGACGGGGAUGGAGUUGUGGACAAGGAUGGGAUUGGGUACAUUCUAUGACACGGCACCAAGCUCUGUGUUGAAACCCUCCCCUAUUUCCACACUGGCUACCAAAGGUCCACCUGAGAUAAGGAUGUUUGCUUCCUGCCUACCCUGGCUGCAGGGAUGGCUGGGAGCCACGUGGCAGUGCCAUGCAGCCGGCCUGACCCUCUCCACUAACACUCUGCUCAUUGCUCUGCUUACAUACAGAAAUGAUCACUCCUUAUUAUUCCGAUACUUAGCUCAGAGCAAACACCAAGAGUAGCAAAAGCCCCCGGAUAAGAAUUCUGUAUCUCCGUGACACUGCUGGUUGCAUUUAUUAAUAUCUCAAUUUUUACACCAGUUUAAGAAAUAUUUCUUUUUCUUUUUUUUUUUUUUAAGAAAAAAAAAAAAAAGGACAAACCCUCCAAAGAAGCUGCUUGGUUGACUGAUCUCUACUUCAUGUGAACUAGCUGCUAUUCUGCUGAGAGGUCCCUACGACCUGUGACUCCCCACAAGCACCGAACGAUUAAGGAUGCAGACAGAGAAGCGUGUUGCUGGGGGACAAACACCAGGGGACGGGGGGGGAUGGAGAACCAAACGCUGCAUCUAGACAAACAAAAUAAAACGUGUCGGUCGGUCGGUUUGU
RNAcentral lists this long non-coding RNA (6016 nucleotides) under Gallus gallus (chicken). Lineage: Eukaryota; Metazoa; Chordata; Aves; Galliformes; Phasianidae. The record is from RNAcentral.